GACGAACGCUGGCGGCGCGCCUAACACAUGCAAGUCGAACGGAGCUUAGAGAGCUUGCUUUUUAAGCUUAGCGGCGAACGGGUGAGUAACGCGUGAGUAACCUGCCCUAGAGUGGGGGACAACAGUUGGAAACGACUGCUAAUACCGCAUAAGCCCACGGUGCCGCAUGACACUGAGGGAAAAGGAUUUAUUCGCUUUAGGAUGGACUCGCGUCCAAUUAGCUAGUUGGUGAGGUAACGGCCCACCAAGGCGACGAUUGGUAGCCGGACUGAGAGGUUGAACGGCCACAUUGGGACUGAGACACGGCCCAGACUCCUACGGGAGGCAGCAGUGGGGGAUAUUGCACAAUGGGGGAAACCCUGAUGCAGCGACGCCGCGUGGAGGAAGAAGGUUUUCGGAUUGUAAACUCCUGUCGUUAGGGACGAUAAUGACGGUACCUAACAAGAAAGCACCGGCUAACUACGUGCCAGCAGCCGCGGUAAAACGUAGGGUGCAAGCGUUGUCCGGAAUUACUGGGUGUAAAGGGAGCGCAGGCGGGAAGACAAGUUGGAAGUGAAAACCAUGGGCUCAACCCAUGAAUUGCUUUCAAAACUGUUUUUCUUGAGUAGUGCAGAGGUAGAUGGAAUUCCCGGUGUAGCGGUGGAAUGCGUAGAUAUCGGGAGGAACACCAGUGGCGAAGGCGGUCUACUGGGCACCAACUGACGCUGAGGCUCGAAAGCAUGGGUAGCAAACAGGAUUAGAUACCCUGGUAGUCCAUGCCGUAAACGAUGAUUACUAGGUGUUGGGGGAUUGACCCCCUCAGUGCCGCAGUUAACACAAUAAGUAAUCCACCUGGGGAGUACGACCGCAAGGUUGAAACUCAAAGGAAUUGACGGGGGCCCGCACAAGCAGUGGAGUAUGUGGUUUAAUUCGAAGCAACGCGAAGAACCUUACCAGGUCUUGACAUCCGAUGCAUAGCACAGAGAUGUGUGAAAUCCUUCGGGACAUCGAGACAGGUGGUGCAUGGUUGUCGUCAGCUCGUGUCGUGAGAUGUUGGGUUAAGUCCCGCAACGAGCGCAACCCUUAUUGCCAGUUACUACGUUAAGAGGACUCUGGCGAGACUGCCGUUGACAAAACGGAGGAAGGUGGGGAUGACGUCAAAUCAUCAUGCCCUUUAUGACCUGGGCUACACACGUACUACAAUGGCGUUAAACAAAGAGAAGCAAGACCGCGAGGUGGAGCAAAACUCAAAAACAACGUCUCAGUUCAGAUUGCAGGCUGCAACUCGCCUGCAUGAAGUCGGAAUUGCUAGUAAUCGCGGAUCAGCAUGCCGCGGUGAAUACGUUCCCGGGCCUU
This 1335-nucleotide ribosomal RNA is filed under the name uncultured bacterium. RNAcentral describes it as "bacterial SSU rRNA". It matches the Rfam family "Bacterial small subunit ribosomal RNA", at positions 28 to 1382 of the family's 1533-position model. The record is from RNAcentral.